UUGGAUUUGUGGUGUGUCCAGUCGGCCUUUGCUCUUUGAGUGAUUGUGCUGUACUGGUCUGCCAUGUUUGGGUGGAAUCUGUGUGGCAUUAAGUUGUCGUGCAGGGGAUGCCCAUCGUUUACUGUGAAAAAAUUAGAGUGUUCAAAGCAGGCUUAUGCCGUUGAAUAUAUUAGCAUGGAAUAAUGAUAUAGGACCUUGGUACUAUUUUGUUGGUUUGCGCACUAAGGUAAUGAUUAAGAGGGACAGUUGGGGGUAUUUGUAUUCCAUUGUCAGAGGUGAAAUUCUUGGAUUUUUGGAAGACAAACUACUGCGAAAGCAUUUACCAAGGAUGUUUUCAUUAAUCAAGAACGAAAGUUAGGGGAUCGAAGAUGAUUAGAUACCAUCGUAGUCUUAACCAUAAACUAUGCCGACAAGGGAUUGGCGGAGUCUCGUUUCGUC
This 438-nucleotide ribosomal RNA is filed under the name Pseudo-nitzschia sp. RCC5401. Its description in RNAcentral is "SSU rRNA". It matches the Rfam family "Eukaryotic small subunit ribosomal RNA", at positions 634 to 1081 of the family's 1831-position model. Lineage: Eukaryota; Bacillariophyta; Bacillariophyceae; Bacillariales; Bacillariaceae. The record is from RNAcentral.